Glycine soja is the source of this 948-nucleotide long non-coding RNA. RefSeq lists it as uncharacterized. Lineage: Eukaryota; Viridiplantae; Streptophyta; Magnoliopsida; Fabales; Fabaceae. The record is from RefSeq and is a predicted model, not a curated record. The transcript is spliced from 2 exons.
UUGACACUAUUCACACUGUCAACCAAUCAUAGAUAUUAAAUUACAUUAGGAAUGAUUGUUAUGGUAAUUAUUUUAAAAGUCAACAAAAUUACUAAACAUGACAAUUUCUGAUUGGUUAGCAGUGUAAAAACCUUUUACAAUGUCAGUAUGUAUACUAUUUAGUCUAUAUAAAAUAUGACUCUUGAAACUUACAUUUGGGGAAAAAAUUGUCCAGGACCUAAUGACUACAAAAUUGAUUCAGCUUUUCCCUGCUAAAUAUAUUGUAGGCACUGCUUGAUCCAAAGGUUGAAGCUAGCAUAGUUGGUGCUACAUUCACAUCACCAGCAGUUGGAGUGGAGCCUUCUCAUCCAAUUUUGGUGGCACUUGCGCCUAUAGUUUCAUUUUUGCUGCCAACAUAUCAAUGUAAUUCUGCAUAUAAAAAGGGGUUGCCAGUUUCUCGAGAUCCGGACGCUCUAAUUGCUAAAUAUUCAGAUCCAUUAGUAUGCACAGGAUCUCUUAGAGUACGUACCGGCUAUGAGAUUCUUCGAACUACGAGCUACUUGCAACAAAAUCUCAGAAAACUGAGAGUUUCCAUUUCAAGUUCUCCAUGCUGAUUCUGUUACUGAUCCUGAUGCUUCUCAAAAAUUGUAUGAACAAGCAUCCUCAACAGACAAAACUAUCAAAUUGUAUGAAGGCUUUGCACAUGACCUCCUUUUUGAACCUAAACGAGAGGAUAUCACUCGCAACAUAAUUCAAUGGCUGAAUAGUCGAAUAUGAAUCAAGUUAGAGCAGUAAGGGAAAAGAUCAUGGAAAAUUUUCAACCCAAGGAAUUGAAAGAUAAAUAGUUCAGUGAUCAAUUUCAUCGGUUGAGAGGAAAAAAACAAACUUGAAGCUGUACAAAAUCUGAGGCAUACUUUUUUGUAUUGGAAUCCUGAAAAUCAUUUAAUGGUUAGCCAAUUCUUUUUAUUA